AGAGUUUGAUCCUGGCUCAGAAUGAACGCUGGCGGCAUGGAUCAGGCAUGCAAGUCGAGCGCGAAGGGUGUUUUCGGAUGCCUUGUAGAGCGGCGCAAGGGUGAGUAACGCGUGAGCAACCUGCCCCCGACUCCGGGACAGCCCAUGGAAACGUGGAUUAAUACCGGAUGCGGCCGCGGGACCGCCUGGUCCCGAUGGCCAAAGGUCCGCCGGUCGGGGAUGGGCUCGCGUCCCAUUAGCUUGUUGGUGAGGUAACGGCUCACCAAGGCCGAGACGGGUAGCUGGUCUGAGAGGAUGGUCAGCCACACUGGGACUGAGACACUGCCCAGACUCCUGCGGGAGGCUGCAGUCGAGAAUCAUCCGCAAUGGACGCAAGUCUGACGGUGCGAUGCCGCGUGAGGGAUGACGGCCUUCGGGUUGUAAACCUCUGUCAGGAGGGACGAAGGAUGUGACGGUACCUCCAGAGGAAGCCACGGCUAACUACGUGCCAGCAGCCGCGGUAAUACGUAGGUGGCGAGCGUUAUUCGGAUUUACUGGGCGUAAAGGGUCCGCAGGGGGUUUGCCAAGUCUGGUGUGAAAUCUUGCGGCUCAACCGCGAAACUGCACUGGAAACUGGCGAACUGGAGUCCGGAAUGGGAGAGCGGAAUUCCUGGUGUAGCGGUGGAAUGCGUAGAUAUCAGGAAGAACACCGGCGGCGAAGGCGGCUCUCUGGUACGUGACUGACCCUGAGGGACGAAAGCGUGGGUAGCGAACAGGAUUAGAUACCCUGGUAGUCCACGCUGUAAACGUUGUGCACUAGAUGUGGGGAGUACUUUGGUCCUUUCCGUGUCCAAGCUAACGCGUUAAGUGCACCGCCUGGGGACUACGGCCGCAAGGCUAAAACUCAAAGGAAUUGACGGGGGCCCGCACAAGCGGUGGAGCAUGUGGCUCAAUUCGAGGCAACGCGAAGAACCUUACCUGGGUUUGACAUGCACGGGCCCACCCUCGAAAGGGGGCUUUUUCUUCGGAAACCCGUGCACAGGUGCUGCAUGGCUGUCGUCAGCUCGUGCCGUGAGGUGUUCGGUUAAGUCCGGCAACGAGCGCAACCCGUGUGGUCAGUUGCGACCAGUUGAAGCUGAGCACUCUGGCCAGACUGCCCGUGUCAAGCGGGAGGAAGGCGCGGAUGACGUCAAGUCCGUAUGGCCCUUACGUCCAGGGCUGCACACGUGCUACAAUGGGCGGCACAAUGGGAUGCAAUACCGCGAGGUGGAGCAAAUCCGUAAAAACCGUCCUCAGUUCGGAUUGGAGUCUGCAACUCGACUCCAUGAAGCCGGAAUCGCUAGUAAAGGGGUAUCAGCAACGGCCCCUUGAAUACGUUCCCGGGCCUUGUACACACCGCCCGUCACAUCAUGGAAGCCGGCUGCACCCGAAGUCGCUGGGUGAACCCCUCGGGGACACAGGCGCCGAAGGUGUGUCCGGUAACUGGGAUGAAGUCGUAACAAGGUA
RNAcentral lists this ribosomal RNA (1485 nucleotides) under metagenome. RNAcentral's name for it is "bacterial SSU rRNA". It matches the Rfam family "Bacterial small subunit ribosomal RNA". The record is from RNAcentral.